This 457-nucleotide ribosomal RNA is filed under the name uncultured bacterium. RNAcentral's name for it is "partial 16S ribosomal RNA". It matches the Rfam family "Bacterial small subunit ribosomal RNA", at positions 338 to 795 of the family's 1533-position model. The record is from RNAcentral.
CCUACGUGUGGCAGCAGUGGGGAAUAUUGCACAAUGGGGGAAACCCUGAUGCAGCGACGCCGCGUGAGUGAAGAAGUAUUUCGGUAUGUAAAGCUCUAUCAGCAGGGAAGAAAUAAAGUCCUUCGGAUUUGGGACGGUACCUGACUAAGAAGCCCCGGCUAACUACGUGCCAGCAGCCGCGGUAAUACGUAGGGGGCAAGCGUUAUCCGGAUUUACUGGGGGUAAAGGGAGCGUAGACGGCAGCGCAAGUCUGGAGUGAAAUCCCAUGGCUUAACCAUGGAACUGCUUUGGAGACUGUGCGGCUGGAGUGCAGGAGAGGUGAGCGGAAUUCCUGGUGUAGCGGUGAAAUGCGUAGAUAGUAGGAGGAACACCAGUGGCGAAGGCGGAUUACUGGACUGUAACUGACGUUGAGGCUCGAAAGCGUGGGGAGCAAACAGGAUUAGAUACCCCAGUAGUC